UGGGGAAUAUUGGACAAUGGGCGCAAGCCUGAUCCAGCCAUGCCGCGUGAGUGAUGAAGGCCCUAGGGUUGUAAAGCUCUUUCACCGGUGAAGAUAAUGACGGUAACCGGAGAAGAAGCCCCGGCUAACUUCGUGCCAGCAGCCGCGGUAAUACGAAGGGGGCUAGCGUCGUUCGGAUUUACUGGGCGUAAAGCGCACGUAGGCGGACUUUUAAGUCAGGGGUGAAAUCCCGGGGCUCAACCCCGGAACUGCCUUUGAUACUGGAAGUCUUGAGUAUGGUAGAGGUGAGUGGAAUUCCGAGUGUAGAGGUGAAAUUCGUAGAUAUUCGGAGGAACACCAGUGGCGAAGGCGGCUCACUGGACCAUUACUGACGCUGAGGUGCGAAAGCGUGGGGAGCAAACAGG
This 404-nucleotide ribosomal RNA is filed under the name Actinomycetes bacterium. Its description in RNAcentral is "Actinobacteria bacterium partial 16S ribosomal RNA". It matches the Rfam family "Bacterial small subunit ribosomal RNA", at positions 355 to 776 of the family's 1533-position model. The record is from RNAcentral. Lineage: Bacteria; Bacillati; Actinomycetota; Actinomycetes. RNAcentral also lists the same sequence under 1 other name.